GACAUACACCGGUAACGCCCAGAGAUGGGUGCCCCUUUGUGGUCGGUGGACAGGUGGUGCAUGGUUGUCGUCAGCUCGUGUCGUGAGAUGUUGGGUUAAGUCCCGCAACGAGCGCAACCCUCGUCCUAUGUUGCCAGCGGGUCAUGCCGGGGACUCAUGGGAGACUGCCGGGGUCAACUCGGAGGAAGGUGGGGAUGACGUCAAAUCAUCAUGCCCCUUAUGUCUUGGGCUUCACGCAUGCUACAAUGGCCGGUACAAAGGGCUGCGAUACCGCGAGGUGGAGCGAAUCCCAGAAAGCCGGUCUCAGUUCGGAUUGCAGGCUGCAACUCGCCUGCAUGAAGUUGGAGUUGCUAGUAAUCGCGAAUCAGAACGUCGCGGUGAAUGCGUUCCCGGGUCUU
This 398-nucleotide ribosomal RNA is filed under the name uncultured Curtobacterium sp. Its description in RNAcentral is "bacterial SSU rRNA". It matches the Rfam family "Bacterial small subunit ribosomal RNA", at positions 983 to 1382 of the family's 1533-position model. The record is from RNAcentral. Lineage: Bacteria; Bacillati; Actinomycetota; Actinomycetes; Micrococcales; Microbacteriaceae.